UGGGGAAUCUUGCGCAAUGGGCGAAAGCCUGACGCAGCCAUGCCGCGUGAAUGAUGAAGGUCUUAGGAUUGUAAAAUUCUUUCACCGGGGACGAUAAUGACGGUACCCGGAGAAGAAGCCCCGGCUAACUUCGUGCCAGCAGCCGCGGUAAUACGAAGGGGGCUAGCGUUGCUCGGAAUUACUGGGCGUAAAGGAGGCGUAGGCGGAUCGUUAAUGCAGAGGUGAAAUCCCAGGGCUCAACCCUGGAACUGCCUUUGAUACUGGCGAUCUUGAGUAUGAGAGAGGUAUGUGGAACUCCGAGUGUAGAGGUGAAAUUCGUAGAUAUUCGGAAGAACAACAGUGGCGAAGGCGACAUACUGGCUCAUUACUGACGCUGAGGCGCGAAAGCGUGGGGAGCAAACAGG
Molecule: ribosomal RNA, 404 nt
Filed under: bacterium
Lineage: Bacteria
Description: partial 16S ribosomal RNA
Rfam family: Bacterial small subunit ribosomal RNA
Source: RNAcentral